AGUGAACGCUGGCGGUAGGCCUAACACAUGCAAGUCGAACGGCAGCACAGUAAGAGCUUGCUCUUACGGGUGGCGAGUGGCGGACGGGUGAGGAAUACAUCGGAAUCUACUUUUUCGUGGGGGAUAACGUAGGGAAACUUGCGCUAAUACCGCAUACGACCUACGGGUGAAAGCAGGGGAUCUUCGGACCUUGCUCGAUUGAAUGAGCCGAUGUCGGAUUAGCUAGUUGGCGGGGUAAAGGCCCACCAAGGCGACGAUCCGUAGCUGGUCUGAGAGGAUGAUCAGCCACACUGGAACUGAGACACGGUCCAGACUCCUACGGGAGGCAGCAGUGGGGAAUAUUGGACAAUGGGCGCAAGCCUGAUCCAGCAAUACCGCGUGGGUGAAGAAGGCCUUCGGGUUGUAAAGCCCUUUUGUUGGGAAAGAAAAGCAGCAGGUUAAUACCCCGCUGUUCUGACGGUACCCAAAGAAUAAGCACCGGCUAACUUCGUG
RNAcentral lists this ribosomal RNA (492 nucleotides) under uncultured bacterium. RNAcentral describes it as "partial 16S ribosomal RNA". It matches the Rfam family "Bacterial small subunit ribosomal RNA", at positions 29 to 507 of the family's 1533-position model. The record is from RNAcentral.